UAGGUGCCUCUGUUGAAGAAUAAAGAAGCGGCUUUUUCAAAUUGAUUCCAUGAAGUGUUGAUUCCUUCAGACUGCUUCCAAUUCAAAAUGCGAGUUUGUCAGAUAAGCAUAAUAAUUAAGAUCCAUCCAACAUUUGGCAUUACAACUGCUCGACGAAUACAACAUACAAGGAAUACUUGCAAAGCAAAUAAGUGGCAGAAUAUUUUUUUCAUCAAACAUUUAUUGUGACACAUUAAGACAUUAAGACGUUGAAAAAAUGAUAAGACAUAAUAAUAAAAAGUGGGAAAAAUUCAACUUUUUAAAAAAGCACAAUAAUGAAAAGAUAAGCUUCUUUUUCUUCUUCUUUUGCAAUGCCCAACUUACUUCUAUCGGCUGCUACCGUAAAUUUCAUUAAAUGCAAUACUCAUACCUGCAAUUUUCAUUGGUUUCAUACUUUUAUGAAAUAAACGACUAUUUUAUAGCCACCAUUUACCAAGUAAAAAAUAUUAGCUUACAGCUAAACAAAUAGAAAAAAAGGAUGGCGGCGAAUUGGAAAAAGAAAUUGCACGAAAUAUUUGUGCAUUAUAAUUAGCAUCCGCGAAAUGAAAGAGAAACUUAGCCCACACACAACGGAACCAAGGAAUGCCCUUCAGGUUUUAGGCAGAAUUCUACAAUUUUUUGCUACGUUAUGAAAAUGCUGUCAGGUCAACAACACCUUCUCUCUCUAUAUAGUCUAUAUAUAAAACACAAUUGCGAAAGGCGUGAAAGGGAUGUAUUAAUAACAGUCCAGAGAGGUGUUGCGGUACACUCACGGGCACUCACGGACUAGACUAGAAUUUCAACAAAAAAAAAUGUCGUGAAUGUAGGA
Long non-coding RNA from Daphnia pulicaria, 847 nucleotides. RefSeq lists it as uncharacterized. NCBI's taxonomy places the organism in Eukaryota, Metazoa, Arthropoda, Branchiopoda, Diplostraca, Daphniidae. The record is from RefSeq and is a predicted model, not a curated record. The transcript has 2 exons.